ACGAACUGUGCGAACGUUACUCGGAAUCACUGGGCUUACAGGGUGCGUAGGCGGCUUGCUAAGCAGGGUGUGAAAUCCCUCGGCUCAACCGAGGAACUGCGCUCUGAACUGGCGAGCUGGAGGAUGCUAGAGGUGUAUGGAACAUCUAGUGGAGCGGUGAAAUGUGUUGAUAUUAGAUGGAACACCGGAGGCGAAGGCGAUACACUGGGGCAUAUCUGACGCUGAGGCACGAAAGCCAGGGGAGCAAACGGGAUUAGAUACCCCGGUAGUCCUGGCCGUAAACGAUGAGAACUGGGCGGGGGAUGGCUUGCCAUUCCCGGCCGUAGCGAAAGCGUUAAGUUCUCCGCCUGGGGAGUAUGGUCGCAAGGCUG
Molecule: ribosomal RNA, 371 nt
Filed under: uncultured bacterium
Lineage: Bacteria
Description: bacterial SSU rRNA
Rfam family: Bacterial small subunit ribosomal RNA
Source: RNAcentral